AUAACGGCUUUUCUAAAAGCCCCAGAAGAGAGAGACAUCAAAGAAUU
Molecule: non-coding RNA, 47 nt
Organism: Mesitornis unicolor (brown roatelo)
Lineage: Eukaryota; Metazoa; Chordata; Aves; Mesitornithiformes; Mesitornithidae
Source: Rfam